CCAAAUAUUGCAGCAGUGUCCCAGGUAGGAAAUCAUAAGAAUAACGUAAAGAUUUAGUACGGCAAAGAGGGUAGAAAGGUUUUUGUUAACAGUGGGUUUCUUUUGCUUAUUAUUAUUGAUAUGAUUCAUUUCAUGACUGUAGAGCUUUAAUAUUGCAGAUUCAAAAGACGAGGCGUCUGGAGAGGGACGAUUCCUACAACCAAGAGCCAGCUUGGUUAUGAAAAACCCGAGACCUACAGUGUCAGUGGACGUCAGAUGCUACUGUGGGAGUGAAGGAAUCGCUGAUGUCUAUCGCCAUUGGCAAAGUUUACCCCGAUGGCAGUGUGGAGCUUCAGGGAGGUCUCGAUUGCUCCGUGCUAAAAGCUCUCAGUUCAUCGUCAGAGCUAAUUGACUAUAAUCAUAGUUUUGUGAUUAUAGUCAAUUAGCUCUGACAAGAAUGUCAAUCGUUUAGUUCGCUUUAUUUGCGUGCGUACUUUUUGGAUGUUUUUUAGCAGAAUUGUGCAAAACUAUGUGGCCAUUUUUCAAAACACUUUACAAAAAUGGGGCAUCGAGACUGACAAUAAGUGAAUAGAUUUUGGGAGCUCCAGACCGGAAUGAAAGACGUUCUAGUGGCGGGUUGACUGUUCACCCUUGGCAGAAGAGACAUUUCAGGUGGGGGACUUCUCAACCUUGUGAGCUUAAGAAACCAAAACCCGACGCAAGAUUACUGUAGAUUUGGUGACCAAAUUUAAUAAAUAUUUUCAUCAGGGAGAUUGUUUUUGGUUCGGUUUGUUUGUCGACUGGAUUGCACGAAAGUUCAUGACUAGAUUUUCACGGAAACUUUACCGGAGGUCCAGAUUGAGGCUUUGUAACUCGUAAUAAGAGAUUAGGUUUUGGGGAAAACAGUCUAUGAGAUUUCUUAGUCACGUAUCUUUUUGCUUUUUUGUGAUCCGUUACCGCACAUUUAUUAUACAUUCAUCUGCUCUUCCGCUGGCUGUCCCGUUAAUUCAGCUGUGUUGUGUGUAGCUUUGUAUUUGUUUCGUCUAUGCAUUUUGUUCUUUGUCUUUUUGCUUUUUUGUUUCCCUGAAUGCACCAAAAUAUAAAUAAUACUUCAGCUUAGCAGAAUCUCUAAUUCUAGCAACGGGGGCGACAUCACCGCGAAGUAUCCGUGAUCUUCUCCCAGAACAACGAGUUUAUGCUCUGUGUAGGAAGUGACCAUUCUUUUUCUGCCCCAGGUACAAAACAGUGCUAUCCCCGGAUGAUGCGUGGGGAAACGUUCGUCCGGAUGGAUCGGUGACUGGGAUUAUUGGGAUGAUUGCCAAUCGGGAAGUUAGUUUUGGAAUUUCUAUAUUGGUUAUCACAGAGAGUCGAAGAAAAGUGGCUGAUUUUACUUUUCCAUACUUCUUUUCAAGAAUGGCUUUGCUUACACGGUCCCCCAAGGAAAAGACCAGGGUCUUGGCAAUCUUCAGAACACUUGAUUUCAAGGUUUGGAUCAGCAUCGCUGCUUCCGCUUUCAUGCUGUCGCCAGUCAUUUACAUCAUCUCCUAUCUAAGGGCCCCCUACUGGAAAGAUGACGAUGAUGUCAAAGGCGAUAUCCAGUGGUACGCUUUCAAUACGUUCCGCAGCAUCGUCUCUCAAGGCAACCUCAUUCGCACUAAAGCUUGGCCCAAGAGAUUCGUUCUUUUUUCCUGGUUCCUCUUCUGCAUU
Macrobrachium nipponense is the source of this 1686-nucleotide long non-coding RNA. RefSeq lists it as uncharacterized. NCBI's taxonomy places the organism in Eukaryota, Metazoa, Arthropoda, Malacostraca, Decapoda, Palaemonidae. The record is from RefSeq and is a predicted model, not a curated record. The transcript has 3 exons.